GAAAAGUUGUUUACAGAAAAAAAAAAAUUGCAAUAUUUUACUAACAUAUUUUGUACAUUUUUCAUUUUUCCUCAGUUUUCACGAUUUUUUUCCAUUUAUUGGGAAAACUGCUGGAAAAAUAAAAAAAAAAGACCUCCUUAAAGUAUCAUGGAGAUCCAUUUUCCCUUCAGAAAAUAAACUACACUUGAUAUAGGUACAUAGGAGGAAGAUUUCUGGUAGAAAAGUUUGCAUAACAAAUCAAGGGGUAUUUUGCGAUUAAAAUAGUCCGAGAGAGCGAUGACUUGGGUUUCUAGAUACACCCAAAAUGCAUUUAAUUUUUCCUUGUUUAAGUAAAAGGGGAAAGAAAGUGUAAACAAUUUUGUUCGAAACUCGGGUUUGAAAAUCGUAACCAGUUAGAUUAUUAUGGGCAUGUAUAAUCAUUAGAUCAUGACAAAUAUUAUUUAAGAAAGACAAUAUGGAGUUAUUUUACAUAACAUAUUAUAAUAUUCGUAUAAUGUCAGAACUUUAAAAAGCUAUGAUUUCGAAAUUAGUCCGCUCAAUUUUGACUUCACCAUCAUUCUUAAAUCGGUAAUAUACAUAUGGUUCGAAAAAAAAAUAUUAAAUAAAAAUUAGAUUUGUUCCACAUAAAUUUUUACUCAAACGAUUUUCGUCAAAAUUAAUAAUAAUAAUUUAAUAUC
Molecule: non-coding RNA, 677 nt
Organism: Cinara cedri
Lineage: Eukaryota; Metazoa; Arthropoda; Insecta; Hemiptera; Aphididae
Source: the annotation of a GenBank genome assembly